RNAcentral lists this ribosomal RNA (562 nucleotides) under uncultured Lactarius. RNAcentral describes it as "eukaryotic LSU rRNA". It matches the Rfam family "Eukaryotic large subunit ribosomal RNA", at positions 68 to 638 of the family's 3401-position model. Lineage: Eukaryota; Fungi; Basidiomycota; Agaricomycetes; Russulales; Russulaceae. The record is from RNAcentral.
ACGAGGAUUCCCCUAGUACUGCGAGUGAAGCGGGAACAGCUCAAAUUUGAAUCUGGCCGUCCUUGGCCGUCCGAGUUGUAAUUUAGAGAAGUGUCUUCCGCGCUGUGACCGUGCACAAGUCUCCUGGAAUGGAGCGUCAUAGAGGGUGAGAAUCCCGUCUUUGGCACGGAUGCCUGGUGCUUCUGUGAUGCGCUCUCGAAGAGUCGAGUUGUUUGGGAAUGCAGCUCAAAAUGGNUGGUGAACUCCAUCUAAAGCUAAAUAUUGNCGAGAGACCGAUAGCGAACNAGUACCGUGAGGGAAANAUGAAAAGCACUUUGNAAAGAGAGUGAAACAKUACGUGAAAUUGUNGAAAGGGAAACGCUUGAAGUCAGUCRCGUCGACCGAGACUCAACCUUGACCUUGGCUCGGUGUACUUCUCGGCCCGACGGGUCAGCAUCAAUUUUGCCCCUCGGAUAAUGCGCAAGGGAAAGGUGGCACCUUUACGGGUGUGUUAUASUCUCCUSUCGCAUGCGAGGGGUGGGAUUGAGGAACUCAGCGUGCACCUUGGUGUCGGGGCUUCGGC